AUGGAAUCCGACUGCUUGGAGGUCGUCAAUCUCUGGAACUCGCGUCAUGAUGACAGGACCGUCGUGGCGCCUAUCUUAGCCGAAAUUUUGGAACUCUAUACUAGUUUUAAGUCUUUUUGUAUUCAAUAUAUUUCGAAGACAGCCAAUUACCCUGCUCACCUAUGUGCUAGACAUGCAAGCACACUGGACGUAACAGAAUGUUGGUUUGACUCUGCCUCUGGCAUCAUUGUUACUAGCCUCCUCGCAGAUUCUGCAGGGGCUUCUAUUGUUGAAUAA
Molecule: ribosomal RNA, 276 nt
Filed under: Triticum aestivum (bread wheat)
Lineage: Eukaryota; Viridiplantae; Streptophyta; Magnoliopsida; Poales; Poaceae
Description: partial small subunit ribosomal RNA
Source: RNAcentral